AUUGAACGCUGGCGGCAUGCUUUACACAUGCAAGUCGAACGGUAACAGGCCGCAAGGUGCUGUCGAGUGGCGGACGGGUGCGUAAUGCAUCGGAACGUGCCCAGUCGUGGGGGAUAACUACUCGAAAGAGUAGCUAAUACCGCAUACGAUCUAUUGAUGAAAGCGGGGGACCGUAAGGCCUCGCGCGAUUGGAGCGGCCGAUUUCAGAUUAGGUCGUUGGUGGGGUAAAGGCUCACCAAGCCAACGAUCUGUAGCUGGUCUGAGAGGAGGACCAGCCACACUGGGACUGAGAAACGGCCCAGACUCCUAGGGGAGGCAGAAGUGGGGAAUUUUGGACAAUGGGCGAAAGCAUGAUCCAGAAAUGCGGGGGGCAGGAAGAAGGCCUUCGGGUUGUAAACUGCUUUUGUAGGGAACGAAACGGCUCUGGUUAAUACCCGGGGCUAAGGACGGUACCGUAAGAAUAGCACCGGCUAACUACGUG
This 481-nucleotide ribosomal RNA is filed under the name uncultured bacterium. RNAcentral's name for it is "partial 16S ribosomal RNA". It matches the Rfam family "Bacterial small subunit ribosomal RNA", at positions 30 to 507 of the family's 1533-position model. The record is from RNAcentral.